GGCUUAGGAGUUUGAAUAGAACAAUGAAUUGCAAGUUCAUAGGUACUUAGUGGUGUAGGCUU
This 62-nucleotide transfer RNA is filed under the name Nautilus macromphalus (bellybutton nautilus). RNAcentral describes it as "tRNA-Cys". Lineage: Eukaryota; Metazoa; Mollusca; Cephalopoda; Nautilida; Nautilidae. The record is from RNAcentral.